AGAAUCAACGCUGGCGGCGUGCCUAACACAUGCAAGUCGAACGAGAAAGUGGAGCAAUCCAUGAGUAAAGUGGCGCACGGGUGAGUAACACGUGACUAACCUACCCUUGAGUGGGGGAUAACCUAGGGAAACCUGGGCUAAUACCGCAUAAUACCUUCGGGUCAAAGGAGCAAUUCGCUUAAGGAGAGGGUCGCGGCCGAUUAGUUAGUUGGCGGGGUAAUGGCCCACCAAGACUGUGAUC
RNAcentral lists this ribosomal RNA (241 nucleotides) under uncultured bacterium. RNAcentral describes it as "partial small subunit ribosomal RNA". It matches the Rfam family "Bacterial small subunit ribosomal RNA", at positions 26 to 281 of the family's 1533-position model. The record is from RNAcentral.